Molecule: long non-coding RNA, 1222 nt
Organism: Gorilla gorilla gorilla (western lowland gorilla)
Lineage: Eukaryota; Metazoa; Chordata; Mammalia; Primates; Hominidae
Exons: 4
Source: RefSeq, a predicted model, not a curated record
UCCUGGGCGGAGCGGGCGGGUGGUCGGGCCAGGCCACACCCCAGGCCGCGCCCGCGCCUGCGCCUCAGCCCCGGCUUCAUCUUCCCUGUCUUGUUCCUGAGCGCAGAGGGCUCCUCCGGCCCAGCCGAGCUGCGCCCGCUGCCUUCACACCCCGGACAUCCGCGCCACACGGACCCAGACCCCAGGAGGCCUCACCCCACAGCAAGAGAAAGACCACCAGCAUGGACAUGAUGGUCGCGCUCACUCCGGUGCAGUGAGUGUCUGGGUGUUGGAUCCUGGAUCCUGUUCUAGAAAGAGACGCUGAGUUCUCCCCACUCUACCUGGAGCUGCUGAGGUCAAGUGGAGAGUGCCGGGGCUGAAGCCCAGCGAGCCCCUCCCUGUCACACCACACUGCACAUGUGACACCAAAGGCAUUUAUUGAGCAUCUACUGUGUGCCAGAUGCAAAGAAGACAGUGGGAUAACUGGGCAAGGAGCAUUCCAGGCAGAGGGAGCAGCCAGUGCAAACACGGGAUAUGCGGUUGCAGUGAGAAGGAGCAGAGACCAGGAGUUGAGGCGACUGCAGAGCGAUUGCAGAGCUCAGAGGCGUGAUGAAGACCAGCUGGGCACUGCAGCGGCUCUGGCUUCUGCUGUGAGGGACGGGGAGCUGUGGAGACUCCCUCUGUUUGGUCCCAUUUCCAUAUUGCUGAGCACCUGCUGCAUGCUCUCUGUCCUGCUCAGAGCCAGUACCUGGAUGGAGGCUGUGUGUUCUGGGUGGACUGGGGGAGAAUGCAUUCUUUGCAGAAGAGACAACCAGGUGCUGAGGCCUGAAGUCAUAACCAGACCUGAGGCACUCAGACAAGGACUGGUGGCCAGGCCAGAGGAGCAGAGCUCAGGGUGUGCACAGAACUCAGAAGUCAGACCAUUGAACAGUGACCGAACCUUUCAGCCCAUUGGCAAUGAGGCUGCCCAGGCAGCCAGAGGCCUGGUCAAAUCUGAGGUCUGCAGAGAUGGAGCUGUCAUUCUGUGUUUCCUUUGGCAGUCCCAACACCAGCCUCGUUGCACCCUCCUCUUAGCUCCCCUGGGUUCUCCAGCCCUAAGGGUGGUAGCAGCUUCCUGCAAGUAUCCAGCUCUGAGAUUCUGCAACAUCCACUUUUGCUCUCUGAGCCUUGCAAAACCUGCACAAUCAGUCCCUAACUUAUAUCCCCUCUGUUUGAAAUACCUAGUGUGGUUUCUAUUUCCUGA